This is a long non-coding RNA of Hirundo rustica (Barn swallow), 330 nucleotides long. RefSeq lists it as uncharacterized. The record is from RefSeq and is a predicted model, not a curated record. The transcript has 3 exons. NCBI's taxonomy places the organism in Eukaryota, Metazoa, Chordata, Aves, Passeriformes, Hirundinidae.
GGCGGAGCAAAAGCCACGGGAGAAAAUGGCGGGUGCUCCGUGAGGGGAGCGGAGUGCCUCAGGUAACAGAGUAAAGAACAUGAAGAAAGAGUAACACACUGCUCAGAAAAGUUACUUCAGGAGAUUGCUGCAAGAGGGAAAAGGCUGCUGCUCUCCUUCUGGCUGAGUCCCAUAGGAGAGUAAAUGGAAGCCCCUAAGGAAGGAGCACAACACACACCGAACUGGCAAAAUACCUAAGGAGGAAAAGAAAAAUUAAAUCACCAUUAGCCAGUUCAGCCCCAUGGACACAGGUCAUCUUGCUAUAAACAAAGCUUAUUAACUGGACAUCCU